GAUGAACGCUGGCGGCGUGCCUAAUACAUGCAAGUCGAGCGAACGGACGAGAAGCUUGCUUCUCUGAUGUUAGCGGCGGACGGGUGAGUAACACGUGGAUAACCUACCUAUAAGACUGGGAUAACUUCGGGAAACCGUAGCUAAUACCGGAUAAUAUUUUGAACCGCAUGGUUCAAAAGUGAAAGACGGUCUUGCUGUCACUUAUAGAUGGAUCCGCGCUGCAUUAGCGAGUUGGUAAGGUAACGGCUUACCAAGGCAACGAUGCAUAGCCGACCUGAGAGGGGGAUCGGCGACACUGGAGCUGAGACACGGUCCAGACUCCUACGGGAGGCAGCAGUAGGGAAUCUUCCGCAAUGGGCGAAAGCCUGACGGAGCAACGCCGCGUGAGUGAUGAAGGUCUUCGGAUCGUAAAACUCUGUUAUUAGGGAAGAACAUAUGUGUAAGUAACUGUGCACAUCUUGACGGUACCUAAUCAGAAAGCCACGGCUAACUACGUG
Molecule: ribosomal RNA, 497 nt
Filed under: uncultured bacterium
Lineage: Bacteria
Description: partial 16S ribosomal RNA
Rfam family: Bacterial small subunit ribosomal RNA
Source: RNAcentral